AAACCAACUCUGCUAUCAGUCACAAGACCACGUCCGAAAGGAACUGCUCUGUCUCACAUCACAGGACUCCCACUAUUUACUCAUACUAAGCAAGCUUUAACUCAAACUGAAACAUACACAGAGCAAAGCCUUUUUACAUAACUGCUCGGGCUGACAUUGUUCCAUGCUAAGAAGGUAACAGCUACAUUCAGGAAGAUAUGACUGUUUAAAUACGCGUUUUCAUGUAAUUGGAGUAGUUUGUAUCUGCCCACACUUCCCCGUUAAUGCGUACAGCCGCUUCAGCUCUGUUUGUGGCUUUUCAACAGAACAGAAACACGUGCCAGCAACAACCACCAAGUUCUUAAGAUUUAACUGCUGGGGUACGAUUCGGCUCCCUCCCAUUUAACACCCUCCAAGAGUCACCUACUCACCUCCAGAACCACAAUCCCUGAGAGCUCUGCUGCUGACACAGAGGAGGGCAGGAAGAGAAGUCAGACAGAAGAAAUAUGAAAUGGGCGGAGUGAAAGAUACGCUACCAGUGAAGUCAUAAUUCUGCAUAACAGGCACAACGGUGAAGCAUGGUUUACUCACUUGUUUCACCUCACCAAUGAUACUGCAGCACACAAAUGACUGGGAGGGGGAAAUAGGUCCAACUGUUCUCGAGACAGCGAGGAAAAAAAACACGAAGGUCUUCAGAAGUUGCUUUUUUCUCCAUUACAUACACAAUUACUUUAGAUCAGGCUGAGAGAUUUAAGUGGCAUCUUCUACUUCUCACACCUGGCUCAACAACAAAGAAGUAAAUCAGUGCACAACUUUGGGUCAAGUCUGUUUUUCAGCAGCACAACACCUAUACCUCCCACCUUAUCCUCCUGCCUUACCAGCAGCUUUUCCAAUCUGUUUUCAUUUGUCUAGAAUAUCCAGACUAGAACAUCAAGAGGAAACCUUUUCCGUUCAGAACCCAUUAUUUCCCAUGAGGUGUUUAACUGUGCUACAGAGGAGCCCAACACAGCCAUGCCCUACAUGGAUACAUGGCAGCACAGGAAGGCCAUCAUAAUCACAUCACAAGUGAUGUAAGAAAGAAUCUUACAGUUUUUCUACCCUCCAGAAUGCCCUCGUCCUUACAAACACAUUACCUGCUUCUGACACAGUGCCAUCCCACACUCUGCUGAGAUGCGCACACCAAGCUGCACCAAAUUGUUAAGGACAUGUUCAACACCACACAUGGAGAAAGGCACCAAGGCUGACAGAAGUGUCCUAAUGGCCGGGUCUGGCUGCUGAGCUGCCCAAAGGAUCACACAGACAGACUCAUCUUUCUGGAGCUGGCCUCGCUCCAUGG
This 1315-nucleotide long non-coding RNA is filed under the name Gallus gallus (chicken). RNAcentral's name for it is "long non-coding RNA NONGGAT004497". The record is from RNAcentral. Lineage: Eukaryota; Metazoa; Chordata; Aves; Galliformes; Phasianidae.